UACGUAGGAUCCAAGCGUUAUCCGGAUUUAUUGGGUUUAAAGGGUGCGUAGGCGGAUUGAUAAGUUAGAGGUGAAAUGUCCGAGCUCAACUCGGGAACUGCCUCUAAUACUGUUGAUCUAGAGAGUAGAUGCGGUAGGCGGAAUGUAUGGUGUAGCGGUGAAAUGCUUAGAGAUCAUACAGAACACCGAUUGCGAAGGCAGCUUACCAAUCUAUAUCUGACGUUGAGGCACGAAAGCGUGGGGAGCAAACAAG
This 253-nucleotide ribosomal RNA is filed under the name uncultured bacterium. RNAcentral describes it as "partial 16S ribosomal RNA". It matches the Rfam family "Bacterial small subunit ribosomal RNA", at positions 524 to 776 of the family's 1533-position model. The record is from RNAcentral.